AGGAGGUAAAUAAGAUUGUACUAUAUAUUCCGUGAAGAAUAGUCUCGACAGCACACUUUUAUUUUCCGCUACGAAGGAGCACUUUGCCUGGUUGCGCCAGCUGCUAAAAUGAAGAACUGCUACAUCGUGGUCAUGCUGCUUGCCCUGACUGUGUUCACGGGAAUCGGCGCCAGAAAAGUGCAACCUGAAUAUGCGAAAAACUUCUGUAUUGGCUACUGGGAAUUCGGACACUGUUCGGAUCAUGACCAGUGUAGUAGAUACUGCGAGAGCAAGGGCUACUGGUUCGGCGGUUGCGGAUCAGACUACGGCGCAAUGUGCUGGUGCUACAAAAAAUAAUGCAUGUGCACCCUUCUUGUUUCCUCACUUUUUGCGCCUUACUGGCAGUGUCUUCUAUCGGUGGUUCGUUCACGAAUAAUGGUGCGAAUAAAAGUACACGUUUCAUACGAGCAGCCUGCCCACCGGAAACUUUACGACACUCACUUCCCUAUUCGCAAUCUCAUGUUUGCCCCGUACAUUUGAUCACUGCUGAUUUUACAUCGGGCCGUCUUGGUGGCUUGGUGGCUGUCGCAUUGCGCUCCUUAGACACAAAGCGAAACGCAAACGUGCACGGGUACCACGCAUGGCCUUUCGUCAAAGAGCCUCGAGUGCUCAAAAUUAUUGCGCAGUCCCGCACUCCAACGUGCUUUAUAUUAAAAUCGUGGUUUUAUUUUACAAAAUCCCUGAAAUAAAGUUUUUGA
Dermacentor albipictus is the source of this 737-nucleotide long non-coding RNA. RefSeq lists it as uncharacterized. The record is from RefSeq and is a predicted model, not a curated record. NCBI's taxonomy places the organism in Eukaryota, Metazoa, Arthropoda, Arachnida, Ixodida, Ixodidae.